This 1383-nucleotide ribosomal RNA is filed under the name uncultured bacterium. Its description in RNAcentral is "partial 16S ribosomal RNA". It matches the Rfam family "Bacterial small subunit ribosomal RNA". The record is from RNAcentral.
AGAGUUUGUUCCUGGCUCAGGAUGAACGCUGGCGGCGUGCCUAACACAUGCAAGUCGAACGAAGCACCUUACCGGAUUCUUCGGAUGAAAGUCUGGUGACUGAGUGGCGGACGGGUGAGUAACGCGUGGGUAACCUGCCCUGUACAGGGGGAUAACAGCUGGAAACGGCUGCUAAUACCGCAUAAGCGCACGAGGAGACAUCUCCUUGUGUGAAAAACUCCGGUGGUACAGGAUGGGCCCGCGUCUGAUUAGCUGGUUGGCAGGGUAACGGCCUACCAAGGCAACGAUCAGUAGCCGGUCUGAGAGGAUGAACGGCCACAUUGGAACUGAGACACGGUCCAAACUCCUACGGGAGGCAGCAGUGGGGAAUAUUGCACAAUGGGGGAAACCCUGAUGCAGCAACGCCGCGUGAGUGAAGAAGUAUUUCGGUAUGUAAAGCUCUAUCAGCAGGGAAGAUAAUGACGGUACCUGACUAAGAAGCUCCGGCUAAAUACGUGCCAGCAGCCGCGGUAAUACGUAUGGAGCAAGCGUUAUCCGGAUUUACUGGGUGUAAAGGGUGCGUAGGUGGCAGUGCAAGUCAGAUGUGAAAGGCCGGGGCUCAACCCCGGAGCUGCAUUUGAAACUGCUCGGCUAGAGUACAGGAGAGGCAGGCGGAAUUCCUAGUGUAGCGGUGAAAUGCGUAGAUAUUAGGAGGAACACCAGUGGCGAAGGCGGCCGUCUGGUCUGUUGCUGACACUGAAGCACGAAAGCGUGGGGAGCAAAUAGGAUUAGAUACCCUAGUAGUCCACGCCGUAAACGAUGAGAACUAGGUGUUGGGGGAAUAACUCAGUGCCGCAGUUAACGCAAUAAGUUCUCCGCCUGGGGAGUAUGCACGCAAGUGUGAAACUCAAAGGAAUUGACGGGGGCCCGCACAAGCGGUGGAGUAUGUGGUUUAAUUCGAAGCAACGCGAAGAACCUUACCUGGGCUUGACAUGUAAUGAACAACAUGUGAAAGCAUGCGACUCUUCGGAGGCGUUACACAGGUGCUGCAUGGCCGUCGUCAGCUCGUGUCGUGAGAUGUUUGGUUAAGUCCAGCAACGAGCGCAACCCCUGUUGCCAGUUACCAGCACGUGAAGGUGGGGACUCUGGCGAGACUGCCCAGAUCAACUGGGAGGAAGGUGGGGACGACGUCAGGUCAGUAUGGCCCUUAUGCCCAGGGCUGCACACGUACUACAAUGCCCAGUACAGAGGGGGCCGAAGCCGCGAGGCGGAGGAAAUCCUGAAAACUGGGCCCAGUUCGGACUGUAGGCUGCAACCCGCCUACACGAAGCCGGAAUCGCUAGUAAUCGCGAAUCAGCAUGUCGCGGUGAAUACGUUCUCGGGCCUUGCACACACCGCCCGUCA